This is a long non-coding RNA of Peromyscus californicus insignis, 7210 nucleotides long. RefSeq lists it as uncharacterized. NCBI's taxonomy places the organism in Eukaryota, Metazoa, Chordata, Mammalia, Rodentia, Cricetidae. The transcript is spliced from 2 exons. The record is from RefSeq and is a predicted model, not a curated record.
GCAGCUGCCCGCUCCAGGGCCUUGGUGUUAAAGGCGGGCCCCACUCGCGCAAGGGGCGGUGUGCCCGAGUUGGGGUCCCCGGCCGCGUGGUGAGCCCGAGUACUCGGGGUGCGUGUGCACGACAGGCGUGGGCGUGGGUGCCGGGGACGCGCGUGGGAUGCAGGGCCGCCGCCCGGUGCUUCCUUUGUUCCCGCGCCGAGCUGCAGGCGGUGGUGUCGCGGCCUCCCUCCGUGCCCCGCCCUGCCGUCAUCUGUAGUGGGAGAAGGUCUCAGUUCCUGCGAGGCAAGUGUCCGUGGGCCCUGCCGCGGUGGCUCACUCCCUUGACCCCGGAAUUACACUGGAGAAAGCCGUGCAUCCCCUCCACAGCCUGGACUCAGAACCUGCUCAAGUCCCCCAGCACCAAAGUGGCAUUCCAGCUUCCAGGCCUAGGGGACCCAGGCUCCAGGACCAGCUUGUGUGUGUGUGUGUGUGUGUGUGUGUGUGUGUGUGUGUCGCGGGGGGUGGGGAGAGGUCGAGCUUAGAGGUGACCCAGGAGGGCAGCGUGGCAGGUGUCCGGUGAGAGGGCCUCAGGUCAUCCCAGUACAAGGACACAAAAGUCCACAGACUGUCUGCUAAGUGGGGACCCAGGUCGGAGAUCGCUAAGCCGAGCCAGACAGAGGUGUAGUCUCCAAGAGCCGGUGCCACCCACUUAGGCACCUGCGUGCGGGGACUGGAGGCUUGCAAUGGCAGAUCCUCAGGCCACCAAAGCUGAAGCCACUGGUGACCAUGGUAUGCCUGUGUCCCUCCAGCCCCAUCACUCUCCCACAACUGGAUUUUCCGGUUUGUCAGUUGGGUGUCUUUUUAUCCAUCACCUAGGCAGCCGCUUCUUUUUUGUUGUUAGCUUUGUUUUUCGAGACAGGGUUUCCCUGUGCAUCCCUGGCUGUCCUAGAAUUCACUUUGUGAACCAGGUUGGCCUGGAACUCACAGAGAUCCUCCUGCCUCUGCCUCUGAGUGCUGGGAUUAAAGGUGUGCGCCACCACCGCCCGGCACACCUAGGCAGCUUUUAAGUCCAGACAGCCCUGCUCAGAACCCAGCCAGUACUUGUGAGCCCCCCAGUGGCUGCUUGCCCUGCACUGGGUGAGCAAGGUUACUCUGGGACCCCUGACCCUGGCCGGGGCACAGUGGUUAGGGACACAGACUGGAUUCUGUACCAGUUUUUCUGCCUUUGUAGGAGGCUCCUGCACACCACACAUUCUGAAUCUCAGGACAGGGACAGUAGGACUCCCCACCCUUUGCUGGUACCUAGAAAGUGAGCCAUUACUUGACCCUGUUUACCCAUUUUCAGGGCCCAUUCAGGGGCCCCCAGGAACCCCACUCACCACCCCCAAAGACAGCACCCAGUCUUGAGAGGGCUGGACUCUAUGGUGUAGCUGCUGUGUUGGCAGCUACACCCCAGGAAUUCUGACCCAGAUGUGAGAAGAUGGGGGGCUCAUGGCCCUGAUGUAUGGCUCUGGGUGGGGGGAUGGACCCAGGUGCAGCCCCAGGAAGGUGAUAUACACAAUUACAGCUGACCGGCUCACUCCUGUCCUGCCAUAAAUGACAGUGAAAGAGUAGGUCCAAGGACAGUGAGGUCUAGCCUGGGCUGUGGCCUGGGCAGGGAGGGGAACAGGUCUCUGGUAAGAAAGGUGGGUCAGGCCAGGACUGAAGAAGGGGUCCUUGCUAGCCAAGGUCAUUCCAAGACUCUGGCCUUUGCUGUCCAGUUGGCAAAAUUCCCAUGACUGGGGGACGGGGCUGAAUGGCGACUCCUAUUUGCUGGGAGCCUGGGUUGUCCUGUUGCCUGUAAACUGCUGACACAGUAAGUCGUCCCAUUCCUGGGAGGUCUGGGGUGGGGUGGAAGAGGGGCCCAACUCUGCCAGCUUCUUGGAAGCAUCCAAUUCUUGGCUGGGCCAGCGCUGGGGUACCUGAGAGGGUUUGAGGGUUGGGAGCGGUUGGGGACUCACAUUUCCCCUCCUUCAUCAAUAGUCAUUUAUUGAACAUCCACUGUUUGCCCCCGGCUCACACUGAGCAGGACAAACUCUGUUCCCUCUGCUCCUACGGGGCCAUGUCUACUGGGGCUGGGCACUAAGUGUGUAUUUAUUAUUAUUGUUACUAUAAAUGUAUAUAGGUGGUACAUGUGCACACGUGUGUGUAUGUGGAGGCCAGAGGACAUCAGGUGUUCUGCUCUGUCACCUUGUUGAGACCAAUCUCUCACUAAGCCUAGACUUAGACAAGUGACCGACAAGCCCUAGUGAUCUUCCCACCCCAUCCCUCACAGCUCUGCGGUCACAGGCAUGCACAUGGCCACGGGUGCUGAGGAUUCGAGCUCAGGGCCGCAUGCUUGCACAAGUACUCUUGCCCACUGAGCCGUCUCAGCAGCCCCUGAGUAAGUACUAUUUGAUUCCAAGGACAGGAUAUGCAGGAGUUGGUAUAGACUGGGGUGUGGGGAGCAGAGGCCCCACAAAUACACAGAUAGCCAUCCAUUCACAGCCUGAGGUAGGAAGGGUGGGGCUUUUGCGUGGCAGGUAGGCCGGCUGUGGGCCACAGCUCCAGAAGGAAAAGGAACCAGCAGGUGAAGCUUUCAGGGGAGAAGUGAACAGAGUCCCGGACUAGGGCAACUCUGGGUCUUGCCCCAAGUCUGUGGGAGGUGGGAGCCCUAUGGCUCCCAAGGUGCAGCCACACCUGAGCCAGCCCAGGUAGGAUACUGAUGUUCUGAGAAGCCCCAAGUGGACCAUGGUCUCUGAGGAGAAGACAGAUGGAGGCUGAGGUUGUGGAGAGGCAGCACUUGACCUUGGACAUUCUGUAUGCACGUGGGCAGGGAGGAAACAGAAUAUGGAGGUAGCAGAUAGCCACUAGGCCGCGGCUCCAUUGGCUCUGGGCUUGAUCCAUUCUGGGCCUUUACAUUCAAUGGGGCCUGGCUGGCCUGGCCAUGGACUUCCAGAGGCAACGGAUGGUCUGACUGAGGGGAGGGGCAGAUGGGGCUGCGGUGUGGGGCGGUGUUCCCGGAAUCCCAGAUCAAGCCGUAAUAAUUUGUUUCAGAAUUAAUGUGGGUUCACACCAUCUUUGCUGUUCUAGCUCAAUGAAGAUAAAAUAAAAAUGUACUCCCCUCCCCCAAAUGGAGGGAGGGAGACCAAGUCUAAUUGCGCCAGCUGGGCCGGCCGCCUGAAGCCACCACUGGGAAUAAAUCUCUCAGGGAGGGCCACUUGGCCCUCUCGGUUUCUAUCCAACAGGGCCUGCUGGCCCUAGUCACUGCCGUUUUAUUUAGCUGAGAAUCUUUUAUUGUGUCUGGAUUUGGAAGUUCUGUUCUCCCAGGGCUGAGAUCUCAUCAGAUUUCACCAGCUCUAUGGCAGGGGCAUGGCCAGAUACUCACAGGCCAGAUUCUUGGUGCUGGGUACCAGGGAAGGGAUCAGCAGUGGCCACCUCUGGCUACAGUGGAGAGCCCAGGCCUUUUGGGGGAAGAGCAGUGGCUUUUUGUCUCAUUUUGGGGGAUUCAAUCCAAGGAAGCCAACUGAAGCAAUAUGCUCUCCCCCGACUCACCCAUUCUUCCAUUCACGUAUCGUACAUUCAGCCAACACAUGCUUUUUAUACGCCUUCUUUGUGCCAGACUCUGAGGGUAAGAGGUGGCCGGGCAGGCGGGCAGGCGGGCAGGCAGACAGGCGGGCAGGCGGGCAGGCGGGCAGGCUUCCUGUCAGGGUCACCAUCUUUGUCUUACCACGCCUCAGGGUUAGCAUGCCCUCAUCUUGGACAUCUCUGAUGGUCCUUUCUCCUCAAUAUUUCAUUUUAUUCUAUUGGCUCAUCAGGUUCAGAAGAGGAGGUAUUAAUCCAGCAUGUUUAGAACUAUAGGAAGCUGACAGAGUGUUCUUCUUUUUGUUUGUUUGUUUUUUUCAAGAUCAGGUUUCCCUGCGUAGCCUGGGCUGUCCUGGAACUCACUCUGUAGACCAGGUUGGCCUCGAACUCACAGAGAUCCACCUGCCUCUGCCUCCCGAGUGCUGGGAUUAAAAGUGUGCACCACCACCGCCUGGCAACUGAGAACAUGUUCUAAGAAGCAAAAAUAACUCCUCAUGUUCUGGUGACAUGUGACUGCCGAAGCUGCCGAAGCCUCAGUCCUGAACUGGACGUGGGGUUGAGACCUCAGGCUCUUUCUCCUGGCCACACGUGCUCUGUGCAGUGUGUCAGCUAGUCUCAUGCUUUAAUAAGUUGUCCACACGUGCCUUUGGGCUGUCAAUCAGAUUUAUCUUCGUUCAGGCUGACGUGGACCCGCCAGAUGCCUCCAUCUCCAAAGGGCCGAUUAUAGCGUCCUCUGAAAGAGCUGGCUUACGCAGUGCUGAGGACUCCAGGGCUUCCGGUGUGCUAGGAGACCCCAUAGCCCCAAAUCAAAUCAGAGUCUAGGGCCUUGAGCAUGCCGGACCGGUGCUCUACCACUGAUCCAUGUGGGCAGAGGCUCCUGGAGUCUUUGGUCAGGGGCAUAAUGCAGCUGGGCCCGGCAUAGCCAGCGUUUCAGGUACAGGUGUGGCGGGGCUCAUCAGUGUCUGCAUUAGGGAAGCUCAGGGUCCAGUGGGGAAACACAGGCAGAGCCUUGCUGUCAACAAGGUUCAGAGCCUUGUGAGGCUGAAAUUGAGUCCCCACAGCGAGGUGCUAAGAGGGUGGAAACUUGAUCUGUGGUAGCAAGUUGGAGGCAAGUUGGAUUAUAAAUAAAAAUGGCCUGAUGUUGACCUCUGACCUUCACACUCAUGUUCACAUGUACACACACACACACACACACACACACACACACACACACACACACACGCACACCGCACACGCACAAAUGAUGUACCCUAGUCCACGACAUAGAAAAUGGACUGGUAGAAUCUCCAAAAUCUUUAAAGGACUCAAGCACUCAGUGACAUGAAUUCCCCAGAUAAUAACAGAGCAAUGACCCAUAUGGACUUCUCACAGCAGUGACAAAUGCCCCACUGUUCCCAUCAGGAAACACGGUGACAGCAGGCCCUGCUCUGGGCACCCAAGACUCUGAGGCUCCCUGGGGUCUCAAUGUAUCUCUGGCUCACUGGCAUCUUGGACACAGGGUCAUUACCAGGCCCCUGGCACCUGUGGAGUGCCGGAGGCCACCCUGGUCCUCACUCACAGCAGGGAACCUGUUCUCUGGGGCUCUGGGCACUUCCAUCCUCUUUUAAUUAAUUAAAAUACAUGUCACCAAGAGGACAGCAACAUCGCUCGGUGCCAUCCACUCGGCGGCCCCCAGAACAUGGUUUGACUUUUGUUGUAGGCCUCAGCCAACGGGGGUUCUGCUCUGGGGCCAUUUGGUCAGGGUUGAGGAGUAGAUGGCUCAGGCAGGAUGGUCCCACAAACUGGACGGAAUCUCACCCUCAUUCCAGUAGCAGGUGCCAAACCACAUGCAGCUGCCACAGGAUGGGAAAUAGGAAUGCCUGGUGGGCCCCCAUAUCUUGGUUAAUUUUUUUUUUCCUUUCAGAGCUAAGGACCGAACCCAAGGCCUUAAGCGCUCUACCACUGAGCUAAAUCCCCAACCCCUUCUUGGUUAAUUUUCUUAAAGAAUUAGUUUUAAUCCUGUAGAUGUGAAUGUCUGUGUGUGGGUAUGUGUACAUGUGCAGGUGCCCAUGGAGGCACCAGAUCUCUCAGGCAUGUGUGAACCACUGAUGUGAUAUGGGUGUUGGGUAUUGAACUUGGGUCCUACUCAAGAGCAAAACCCACUCUACCUCCGGGCCAUCUCUCCAGCCCCUACAUCUGGCUAAUGUUUUAGAGCUAAUUUCCUUCCGGUAUCUUGCAGGAGAGGAAGCUGAGGCCCGCAAUUCGAGGGGAGACACUGGGAAGAAACUGUAGUGUGCUCCCACUGGAGCCACACGCUCUCUGAAGAAGGCUCCUGAGAGGGACCCAAACUGGCCCUCUGGACUUCCGGCUGGGUCCCUACUACCUCAGCCUGUGUUUGUCUAAUCAGGAGGUGAGCGGCGGCGGCCAAUGCAAUGGGAGCUUUCCUGCCGUCAGAGGAGUUUAACUGCACACUGAACAGGCUGGAGCCACUUGAAACAUAAUCCCAUUGCGCCCGAGAACUGGCCUGGCGACUCCCUGGUGGUCUUCGCAUCUGGCGGCCGAGUCCCGAUGGAAACAAAUAUUCAAGCCUUGGCCCUCCAGCCCCACACUCCCUGCCGUCUGGCCCUCAUCAGUGGGCUGGAGAAGGUGUGGGGCGCAGAGACACCAGGGGGACAGGAGCUGCCUAGUUUUUGUCAGCUUGCUGCAGACUAGAGUCGCUUGGGAAGAAGGACCUUCUACUGAAGCUCUACCCUCAUCCCACUGGACUGCAGACAAGCCUGCAGGGCAUUUUUUGAUUGAUGAUGGAUGUGGAAUGGACCAGCCCACUGCCAGCCCUGGGCAGGUGGUCCUGGGUGCUGUAAGAAAGCAGGUUGAGCAAGCCAGUAACCAGCACUCUUCCGUGGCCUCUGCUUCAGUUCCUACCAGUGGGGUCCCUGCUCUGGCUUCUCUCAUGAUGGACUGUGACACGGAACUGUAAGUUGAACAAACCCUUUCGUCAAGUUGCUUUUGGUCACAGUGUUUACCACAGCAACAGAAAGCAAAGGCGGACAGGACCCCAAGUGGCUUUCUUUUCUCCAUCUGUAAAGUGGGGGAGAGCUUGGCCUGGGGUGGCCAAGAUUUGUGAAAUAGAAAUGAGUCUAUAGACUCUGAAAUGCAGGCAGGGGUGGGCACUGGUCGAGAUCUUCAAGGCAGGGUUGGUAAGAUGGCUCCGUGGGUAAAGGCCCUUUCUGUCAAGCUUGAUGACCUGAAUUUGAUCCCAGGACUCACAUGGUUUAAGGAGAGAACCAACUCCUACAGUUGUCCUCUGACCUCCACAUGUGUGUGCCUGCCACACAGAAAAUAAGACAAUACAAUGUAAUAAAAAUAUUUUCAAGCUGGGUGGUGGUGGCGCACACCUUUAAUCCCAGCACAUGGGAGGCAGAGGCAGGAGGAUCUCUGUGAGUUUGAGGCUAGCUGGUCUACAGAGUGAGUUCCAGGACAGCCAGAGAUAUACAGAAAAAUCUUGUCCCAAAAAAACAAAAAAAACAAAAUUUUUUUUUUUUCAAAAAUUUCCAAGGAUAGCUCCUGUCCCCUGUGUGGGAUAUGGCUCUCAUCAUGACAUGAUUGUAGGAUAUCUGGAUGGUGGUGGUAUAAAAAUGUUUCCCUGUUA